GGUUACGGCCAUACUACCCUGAACACGCCCAAUCUCAUCUGAUUUUGGAAGCUAACCAGGGUCAGACCUAGUUAGUUAGGGAGACCACCUGGGAAUACCGGGUGCCGUAGACU
RNAcentral lists this ribosomal RNA (113 nucleotides) under Podarcis muralis (Common wall lizard). Lineage: Eukaryota; Metazoa; Chordata; Lepidosauria; Squamata; Lacertidae. The record is from RNAcentral.